This 602-nucleotide ribosomal RNA is filed under the name Halichoeres binotopsis. RNAcentral's name for it is "partial 16S ribosomal RNA". It matches the Rfam family "Bacterial large subunit ribosomal RNA", at positions 1803 to 2613 of the family's 2925-position model. The record is from RNAcentral. Lineage: Eukaryota; Metazoa; Chordata; Actinopteri; Labriformes; Labridae.
UUUAUCAAAAACAUCGCCUCUUGCAAAAUCAACGAAUAAGAGGUCCCGCCUGCCCAGUGACUAUAUGUUUAACGGCCGCGGUAUUUUGACCGUGCAAAGGUAGCGCAAUCACUUGUCUUUUAAAUGGAGACCUGUAUGAAUGGCACCACGAGGGCUUAACUGUCUCCUUUCUUAGGCCAAUGAAAUUGAUCUCCCCGUGCAGAAGCGGGGAUAUACACAUAAGACGAGAAGACCCUAUGGAGCUUUAGACACUAAGGCAGUUUAUGUUAAAAACCUCUACAUAAAGAGCUAAACUAAAUAAAUCCUGCCCUAAUGUCUUCGGUUGGGGCGACCCCGGGGAAACAAGUAACCCCCAUGAGGAAUAGAAGCAUGCUUCCAAAGCCAAGAGCCACUGCUCUAAGAAUCAGAAUUUCUGACCAUCAGAUCCGGCAAAGCCGAUCAACGGACCGAGUUACCCUAGGGAUAACAGCGCAAUCCCCUUAUAGAGUUCCUAUCGACAAGGGGGUUUACGACCUCGAUGUUGGAUCAGGACAUCCUAAUGGUGCAGCCGCUAUUAAGGGUUCGUUUGUUCAACGAUUAAAGUCCUACGUGAUCUGAGUUCA